Hippocampus zosterae (dwarf seahorse) is the source of this 380-nucleotide long non-coding RNA. RefSeq lists it as uncharacterized. Lineage: Eukaryota; Metazoa; Chordata; Actinopteri; Syngnathiformes; Syngnathidae. The transcript is spliced from 3 exons. The record is from RefSeq and is a predicted model, not a curated record.
GGCAUCUCAGAAUGUGUCUCCGAUAAUUCCAAUAAUGGAUCAAUUGUCAGUGCUGUGAAAGGUCAAUUCCCUUCUACGCCGGGAGGAAAGAUUCCGCAGAUAACUGUCACAGUAGCUGACCAUAGUAGGUGAAGUACUGUGCCAAAUGGAGGAAGGUGAGCGAGACCAGAACGUUGAAGGUCCAGUUGACUCCGGCUGCACAUGCAUUGCCCGUGCUCCUGGCCCACAGUGGGUAGAUCUCAGAAUUGAUCGUCCACGGCAUGGGACCCAUUCCUUGAGUGAAGAAACAUCUUACAAGUGCUGCAUCUGAAACCCUUCCACACACCAGACACACCUUCAUCCUGUGACUCACCUGCCCCACACCGCCUGCUCAGUGGAGG